This 468-nucleotide ribosomal RNA is filed under the name uncultured bacterium. RNAcentral's name for it is "partial 16S ribosomal RNA". It matches the Rfam family "Bacterial small subunit ribosomal RNA", at positions 28 to 507 of the family's 1533-position model. The record is from RNAcentral.
GACGAACGCUGGCGGCGUGCUUAACACAUGCAAGUCGAACGGAAAGGCCCUGCUUUUGUGGGGUGCUCGAGUGGCGAACGGGUGAGUAACACGUGAGUAACCUGCCCUUGACUUUGGGAUAACUUCAGGAAACUGGGGCUAAUACCGGAUAGGAGCUCCUGCUGCAUGGUGGGGGUUGGAAAGUUUCGGCGGUUGGGGAUGGACUCGCGGCUUAUCAGCUUGUUGGUGGGGUAGUGGCUUACCAAGGCUUUGACGGGUAGCCGGCCUGAGAGGGUGACCGGCCACAUUGGGACUGAGGUACGGCCCAGACUCCUACGGGAGGCAGCAGUGGGGAAUAUUGCACAAUGGGCGGAAGCCUUAUGCAGCAACGCCGCGUGCGGGAUGACGGCCGUCGGGUUGUAAACCGCUUUCGCCUGUGACGAAGCGUGAGUGACGGUAAUGGGUAAAGAAGCACCGGCUAACUACGUG